Molecule: long non-coding RNA, 745 nt
Filed under: Falco tinnunculus (common kestrel)
Lineage: Eukaryota; Metazoa; Chordata; Aves; Falconiformes; Falconidae
Description: lncRNA (ENSFTIG00000003471.1)
Source: RNAcentral
GAAUUGGGUGCGGACACGCCCCGCCAGCCCAACGGCCCCUCCGCUCGCGAGAACCGCCGCCGCCGCCAGUGCGCCUGCGCGCCCCCUCACACACACGCGCCCCCUCCCCUCCCCCCCCCCCCCCCCCCCCCCCCCCCGCGGCCAGGUGGCGUUGGCGGGAACGUGAGGGGGAGAAGGCGGCGGGGUGAGGGGGCGUGGCUUCACCUCAGGGGAGCGGGCGGGCGCCGCCGCCUGCUAUAGCAGCAGCAGCAGGGCGUGGCGGGGGGUUGUGCGCCGGGGGCGGCGGGCUGGCGCGUUAGAGCCGCGGGGCGGGCCGGGCCGGGCCGCGCCGCGUCGGGCCGGGCCGGGCCGGGCCGGGCCGCGCCGCGGAGGGGAAGAGGUCGAAGGCUGGCGGUGCUGGCCGCCGGGGUGCAGCCACGUCGUGCGGCGCCCUUUCGGCGGGUGCCGAGAUAAGCGACGCGUCUGCUCCGAGGUGGUUUUGCUGCCCGCCUGAGUGAACGCAGGCGUGCCACUGAGGUGACACUGCAGCCCGGCUUGAAGAAUGCUUUCAGGAAUCAGUAUGGCUACCACAAGCGUUUCUAGCCUUCUGUCCUGCUCUGGAUGCCACCUUAAGAGAUUGUAUUGCCACCUGGGCUUGGCUGGGAUACCUCUAUUUACUUCUGUGAACCUUGGCUUGGAUCUAGUGCAGCAAAACGGUGGCAAUUUUGGAUCCCCAGGUACUCUUGAGUACAGAAGGGCCAUUUAG